Molecule: ribosomal RNA, 871 nt
Filed under: uncultured bacterium
Lineage: Bacteria
Description: bacterial SSU rRNA
Rfam family: Bacterial small subunit ribosomal RNA
Source: RNAcentral
UAGAGUUUGAUCAUGGCUCAGGAUGAACGCUAGCGACAGGCUUAACACAUGCAAGUCGAGGGGCAGCGGUGGUGAAGGCUUGCCUUUACCAGCCGGCGACCGGCGCACGGGUGAGUAACACGUAUGCAACCUGCCUGCCACAGCCGGAUAAUCGGGAGAAAUUCCGUCUAAUACGGCAUAAUGCACCUAUGGGACAUCCUGUUGGUGCCAAAGGUUAAUUCCGGUGGCGGAUGGGCAUGCGUCGCAUUAGUUAGUUGGCGGUGUAACGGACCACCAAGACGACGAUGCGUAGGGGUUCUGAGAGGAAGGUCCCCCACACUGGUACUGAGACACGGACCAGACUCCUACGGGAGGCAGCAGUGAGGAAUAUUGGUCAAUGGGCGGGAGCCUGAACCAGCCAAGUCGCGUGAGGGAUGACGGCCCUAUGGGUUGUAAACCUCUUUUGCCGGGGAGCAAAGUGCCGCACGUGUGCGGUUUGGAGAGUACCCGGAGAAAAAGCAUCGGCUAACUCCGUGCCAGCAGCCGCGGUAAUACGGAGGAUGCGAGCGUUAUCCGGAUUUAUUGGGUUUAAAGGGUGCGUAGGCGGACGCUUAAGUCAGCGGUAAAAUUGCGGGGCUCAACCUCGUCGAGCCGUUGAAACUGGGUGCCUUGAGUGGGCGAGAAGUACGCGGAAUGCGUGGUGUAGCGGUGAAAUGCAUAGAUAUCACGCAGAACUCCGAUUGCGAAGGCAGCGUACCGGCGCCCAACUGACGCUGAAGCACGAAGGCGUGGGUAUCGAACAGGAUUAGAUACCCUGGUAGUCCACGCAGUAAACGAUGAAUGCUAGUUGUCCGGGGCGAUUGAGUUCUGGGUGACACAGCGAAAGCGUUAA